GAUGAACGCUGGCGGCGUGCCUAAUACAUGCAAGUCGAGCGAACAGACGAGGAGCUUGCUCCUCUGACGUUAGCGGCGGACGGGUGAGUAACACGUGGAUAACCUACCUAUAAGACUGGGAUAACUUCGGGAAACCGGAGCUAAUACCGGAUAAUAUAUUGAACCGCAUGGUUCAAUAGUGAAAGACGGUUUUGCUGUCACUUAUAGAUGGAUCCGCGCCGCAUUAGCUAGUUGGUAAGGUAACGGCUUACCAAGGCAACGAUGCGUAGCCGACCUGAGAGGGUGCUCGGCCACACUGGAACUGAGACACGGUCCAGACUCCUACGGGAGGCAGCAGUAGGGAAUCUUCCGCAAUGGGCGAAAGCCUGACGGAGCAACGCCGCGUGAGUGAUGAAGGUCUUCGGAUCGUAAGACUCUGUUAUUAGGGAAGAACAAAUGUGUAAGUAACUAUGCACGUCUUGACGGUACCUAAUCAGAAAGCCACGGCUAACUACGUG
This 497-nucleotide ribosomal RNA is filed under the name uncultured bacterium. Its description in RNAcentral is "partial 16S ribosomal RNA". It matches the Rfam family "Bacterial small subunit ribosomal RNA", at positions 28 to 507 of the family's 1533-position model. The record is from RNAcentral.